Molecule: unclassified non-coding RNA, 326 nt
Filed under: Hevea brasiliensis (rubber tree)
Lineage: Eukaryota; Viridiplantae; Streptophyta; Magnoliopsida; Malpighiales; Euphorbiaceae
Source: RNAcentral
GGUUAAACCAUCAUUGAAUCAUAUUCAAUGGUAGCAAUAUCUUGGGUUUCCAAUCCUAAUUUAGCUCCUUGGAAAUUCAACUCAAUUAUCAAUGACAUUUUGGGUUCAGUUUAGAAGUUGUCUAGAGUCUUGUUUGUUCAUUCUCCAUGUGAGUCAAAUUCUGUGGCGGAUGCACUUGCGAAGCAAGAUGUGGAUAGAUCGGAAGACUUUGUCGCUGUUUUGUGAUGUGAUGCUGCUACGUUUUGUUGCGCCUAUGUUAUGUGCAGAUUUUGUAUUGUUCUUGUGCAGGUUCCAUCUUCGGCAUAGAUUCGGGGUUGGUGGUUUUG